GACGAACGCUGGCGGCGUGCUUAACACAUGCAAGUCGAACGGAAAGGCCCUGCUUUUGGGGUGUGCUCGUGUCGAGCGGGUGUGUGAAACACGUGUGUACCGUGCCCUUGACUUUGGGAUAUCUUGAGAACACUGGGGAUAAUCCCAGAGAGGCUCUCGUUGUGCAGGGGGGGGGGUGAAAAGUUUGGGCGGUUGGGGGUGGUCUCGCGGCAUAUCCGCUUGUUGGGGGGGGAGGGGGUUCCCGAGGGUUUGGGGGGUAGGCGGGCUGGGGGGGUGCCCGGCCACAUUGGGGCUGAGAUACGGCCCAGAAUCCUACGGGAGGCAGCAGUGGGGAAUUUUGCACAAUGGGUGGGAGCCUGAUGCAGCAACGCCGUGGGCGGGAUGACGGCCUUCGGGUUGGAAACCGCUUUCGCUCAUGACGAAGCUUUGUGUGACGGUAGUGGGUAAAGAAGCACCGGCUAACUACGUG
Molecule: ribosomal RNA, 469 nt
Filed under: uncultured bacterium
Lineage: Bacteria
Description: partial 16S ribosomal RNA
Rfam family: Bacterial small subunit ribosomal RNA
Source: RNAcentral